This 72-nucleotide transfer RNA is filed under the name Ictidomys tridecemlineatus (thirteen-lined ground squirrel). Its description in RNAcentral is "Spermophilus tridecemlineatus (thirteen-lined ground squirrel) tRNA". It matches the Rfam family "tRNA". Rfam says of the family: Transfer RNA (tRNA) molecules are approximately 80 nucleotides in length. Their secondary structure includes four short double-helical elements and three loops (D, anti-codon, and T loops). Lineage: Eukaryota; Metazoa; Chordata; Mammalia; Rodentia; Sciuridae. The record is from Rfam by way of RNAcentral.
GGUGUUGUAGCUCAGUGGCAGAGCACUUGACUUGCACAUGUGAGGCACUGAGUUCAAUCCUCAGCACCACAU